GGUUGAGUAGCUCAGCUGGAUAGAGCAACAGCCUUCUAAGCUGUGGGUCUUGGGUUCGAAUCCCAACUCAAUCACCU
This 77-nucleotide transfer RNA is filed under the name Barnesiella sp. An22. RNAcentral describes it as "tRNA-Arg". It matches the Rfam family "tRNA". Rfam says of the family: Transfer RNA (tRNA) molecules are approximately 80 nucleotides in length. Lineage: Bacteria; Pseudomonadati; Bacteroidota; Bacteroidia; Bacteroidales; Barnesiellaceae. The record is from RNAcentral.